RNAcentral lists this ribosomal RNA (253 nucleotides) under uncultured bacterium. RNAcentral's name for it is "partial 16S ribosomal RNA". It matches the Rfam family "Bacterial small subunit ribosomal RNA", at positions 524 to 776 of the family's 1533-position model. The record is from RNAcentral.
UACGUAGGGUGCGAGCGUUGUCCGGAAUUAUUGGGCGUAAAGAGCUUGUAGGCGGUUUGUCGCGUCUGCUGUGAAAAUCCGGGGCUCAACCCCGGACUUGCAGUGGGUACGGGCAGACUAGAGUGUGGUAGGGGAGACUGGAAUUCCUGGUGUAGCGGUGGAAUGCGCAGAUAUCAGGAGGAACACCGGUGGCGAAGGCGGAUCUCUGGGCCAUUACUGACGCUGAGGAGCGAAAGCAUGGGGAGCGAACAGG